UUCAUCGCACAUAAAGUGGGGCCCAACUAAAUCAAUUAGCUGACGUGUCCUUGUCCAUUUGUAUUGUUAAUAGAAACCUCUUUAAAACCCCCUUAUUUUCCUUCAUGUUCCAGCAAUCCAAACAACCCUCAUAAGAAAAUUUGCCAACGGCUUCUCUCUUUGGUUCGUUGCAAACAAGCCAUUAUCAUCAACAACUCCUGCUACUUCACUAGCUUCUUCUUUGGUGAAUUCCACAAAGAUCAAAGUAGGCCAGGCAAUUCAGAAACAUUGUCAUCUUGGACGGGCAGUUGAUGUAAGGUUGUGUUUUAGAGGUGGAGAGAUGGGGAAAGGCCCAAGGAUUAGAAAGGUACCCUUCAAAUUAUGAAUUCAAUUUUAGAUUUUUUGUGAUUUUGGGUUACUGUGUUUACUAAAAGUCAUGGGGUGGUGAGGGCAGAGGAAGAUGCUGAGAAAUCUAAGCAAGUAUUGAUUUGGUGUCGUCAACUAUUCAACAAGUUGAGGAAGAUUAAGGACAAGGAGUCCGAUCAUGGUAGACACAUGAAAGGAUUUAAUAAGUUGAAGGUUAGGGAGCCAAUGCAUGUCACAAGAGGUGGAGAAUGAUGCAGAUACAGUUUCACAGCGAAAAGAUGACGACAAUCUUGAUGAGGCUGUUCACACAAAGUACUUUGACAUGCCACCUCUGACUGUCCAUGAAGCAAUUGUGCGGCUGGGAAAUAUGGAUCAUGCCAUGCCUUCUAUGGUUUCAGGCAUGCUGAAGGGGCAAGAUACAGAAUUUGAGAUCAAGUGAACUCAAACUAAUGAGAUGUAUUAACAUGCUUGUAUGAGUUCUUAAUUUAUGGAAAAUCAGAGCCACUACUAUGUUGGCGUCCAAACUUACAGGGAUGAGAAAAAAGAAUUUUGGAAUCACUAUUCAGUUUAUAUUAGAUCGAAACUUCUGUUCA
Molecule: long non-coding RNA, 938 nt
Organism: Populus trichocarpa (black cottonwood)
Lineage: Eukaryota; Viridiplantae; Streptophyta; Magnoliopsida; Malpighiales; Salicaceae
Exons: 2
Source: RefSeq, a predicted model, not a curated record